Molecule: ribosomal RNA, 420 nt
Filed under: uncultured Nitrososphaerota archaeon
Lineage: Archaea; Thermoproteati; Nitrososphaerota
Description: bacterial SSU rRNA
Rfam family: Archaeal small subunit ribosomal RNA
Source: RNAcentral
CAGCCGCCGCGGUAAAACCAGCACCUCAAGUAGUCAGGAUGAUUAUUGGGCCUAAAGCAUCCGUAGCCGGCUCUGUAAGUUUUCGGUUAAAUCUGUACGCUAAACGUACAGGCUGCCGGGAAUACUGCAGAGCUAGGGAGUGGGAGAGGUAGACGGUACUCGGUAGGAAGGGGUAAAAUCCUUUGAUCUAUUGAUGACCACCUGUGGCGAAGGCGGUCUACCAGAACACGUCCGACGGUGAGGGAUGAAAGCUGGGGGAGCAAACCGGAUUAGAUACCCGGGUAGUCCCAGCUGUAAACUAUGCAAACUCAGUGAUGCAUUGGCUUGUGGCCAAUGCAGUGCUGCAGGGGAGCCGUUAAGUUUGCCGCCUGGGAAGUACGUACGCAAGUAUGAAACUUAAAGGAAUUGGCGGGGGAGCAC